AUAUCAGUCAUGCAUAGUAUAUCAAUAAGCGGAGGAAAAGAAACUAACAAGGAUUCCCUUAGUAACGGCGAAUGAAGCGGGAAGAGCUCAAAUUUGAAAUCUUCAAGGUUCUACCUUGACGAAUUGUAGUUUAUAGAAGUGUUUUCUGUUAGUAGAGUGGCAAAAGUUCUUUGGAAUAGGACAUCAUAGAGGGUGAGAAUCCCGUAUUUGGUCAUUCUUUCUAGCUUUGUGAUACACUUUCAACGAGUCGGAUUGUUUGGGAAUGCAGUCCAAAAUGGGUGGUAAAUUUCAUCUAAAGCUAAAUAUUGGCGAGAGACCGAUAGCGAACAAGUACCGUGAGGGAAAGAUGAAAAGAACUUUGAAAAGAGAGUUAAACAGUACGUGAAAUUGUCAAAAGGGAAGCGUUUGACACCAGUGUUGUUUAGUUGAAAAUCAAUUCAAUAAUUUUUGAUUUUGAGUAGUAUUGACUUCAUCAGCUUGCUGCUUUCUUUUCGGAAAUUAUUGAAUGCACUUUUCAGUUAACAAGUCAACAUCAAUUUCUUUUGUUGUAAAAGGGUCAGAUGGAAGGUGGCUUACGCUUUCGGAGAAAGUGUUUAUAGCCUUUUACUUCUGCAAUCGGAGAGAUUGAGGUCUGCAGCGUAGAUCCUUCGGGGUUAGAUACAUUUGUGCUAAGCUAUAGCCUUGUAUAGACAACUUGUUGACUAUGCUCAGUCAUGUAGCUUACUCGCUUAUGCUAUUUUACCUACGCUUAGGAUGUUGAUGUGAUACUGCGAGCA
RNAcentral lists this ribosomal RNA (776 nucleotides) under uncultured Neocallimastigales. RNAcentral describes it as "partial large subunit ribosomal RNA". It matches the Rfam family "Eukaryotic large subunit ribosomal RNA", at positions 22 to 628 of the family's 3401-position model. The record is from RNAcentral. Lineage: Eukaryota; Fungi; Neocallimastigomycota; Neocallimastigomycetes; Neocallimastigales.